Molecule: ribosomal RNA, 406 nt
Filed under: uncultured bacterium
Lineage: Bacteria
Description: partial 16S ribosomal RNA
Rfam family: Bacterial small subunit ribosomal RNA
Source: RNAcentral
AUUGAACGCUGGCGGCAGGCCUAACACAUGCAAGUCGAACGAGUGGCGGACGGGUGAGUAAUGUCUGGGCAACUGCCUGAUGGAGGGGGAUAACUACUGGAAACGGUCGCUAAAACCGCAUACAAUCGGUUGUGCCCAGAUGGGAUGAGCUAGUAGGUGGGGUAAAGGCUCAGCUAGGCGACGAUCCCUAGCUGGUCUGAGAGGAUGACCGGCCACACGGGAACUGAGAAACGGUCACGACUCCUACGGGAGGCAGCAGUGGGGAAUCUUGGACAAUGGGCGCAAGCUGGAUGCAGCCAGGCCGCGUGAAUGAAGAAGGCUUUCGGGUUGUAAAGUACUUUCAGCGGGGAGGCGGUACCUGCAGAAGAAGCACCGGCGAACUCCGUGCCAGCAGACGCGGUAAUAC